GGUUGCGAUCAUACCAGCACUAAUGCACCGGAUCCCAUCAGAACUCCGCAGUUAAGCGUGCUUGGGCGAGAGUAGUACUAAGAUGGGUGACCCCCUGGGAAGUCCUCGUGUUGCAACCC
RNAcentral lists this ribosomal RNA (119 nucleotides) under Helianthus annuus (common sunflower). The record is from RNAcentral. Lineage: Eukaryota; Viridiplantae; Streptophyta; Magnoliopsida; Asterales; Asteraceae.